This 1458-nucleotide ribosomal RNA is filed under the name Triticum aestivum (bread wheat). RNAcentral describes it as "partial small subunit ribosomal RNA". Lineage: Eukaryota; Viridiplantae; Streptophyta; Magnoliopsida; Poales; Poaceae. The record is from RNAcentral.
AUGAUCAUUGACUAUGCUCAUUUCGGUGAUGUUGUUACUUUCGAUAGAACAUUUGGGACAAACAAAGAGUACAGACCCUUCGGUGUGUUUGUUGGAUUCAACCAUUUUAGAGAAAUGGUCAUUUUUGGUGCUGCACUUUUAUAUGAUGAGACAUUUGAAUCAUUCAAAUGGUUGUUCAACACAUUCCUAUCAUUGCAUAACAAGAAGCAACCUAGAACAGUCUUUACUGAUCAAGAUGUAGCAAUGGGUAAUGCAGUUCAGGCAGUAUUUACCGAAGCAUGGCAUGGAUUAUGCACUUUUCACAUAAUGCAAAAUGCCAUUAGGCAGUUACCUCAUAAGAAAAAAGACGAGGAGGGACCAAAUGUACUUGCUGAUUUCAGUGCUUGCAUGUACAAGUAUGAGGAAGAGGAAGCCUUUGUAGAAGCUUUCAAUGCCAUCAGAAGCAAUGUGGAUACACAAACUUGGUUGCACAGGAUCUACAAAGUAGAAGAGAAAUGGGCAAGAUGUUACAUGACGAAUGCUUACACUAUAGGCAUGAGAAGCACACAAUUAAGUGAGAGCUUGAACAGUGACUUGAAAGACCAUCUAAAGCCUGAUCUUGACAUCCUUCGGUUUUUCAAGCAUGUAGAGAGGGUUGUGCAAGAGAAAAGAGAUAACGAGGUAAAUGAGGAAUAUGAGUCUAGGAAAAAAUUACCUAGAGUCAGAAUGAGGACUCCUAUGGUAAUACAAGUGAGCAAGGUUUACACGCUACGCAUAUUUGAAGAUUUUCAGAAUGAAUACGAAAGAUCUAUCUCAGCAUACAUCAAGACAUCGAUAGAACACAAUGCAUAUAUUGUUGCAAUUGCAAGUCUUGACCCAAAAUUCACAUAUGAAGAAGAGUGCAAAGUUGUAGUUGACCAUGAAGAGCAAAAAAAAUUCUGCGAUUGUGGGAAAUUUGAAAGAGUUGGUAUAUUCUGUAGUCAUGCUUUGAAAGCACUUGAUGUCAUGAAUAUUAAGUACCUUCCAGGCCACUAUAUUUUGAAGCGAUGGACUCGAGAAGCGCGAAGCGGCACUAUACAAAACAGCCAUGGAAACAUUGUUUUGGAAGAUCCUAGAUCAGAAGGCAGACAACAGUUUAAGUUUUUCAUGCACGAGUUCCUUGGCAUAGCUUCACAAGCAGUUACAUUAGAAGAGUGUAUCAAACUAGUAGAUGAUGAUUUGAAGAAUCUUAGGAAGCAAGUUGAAGAGAAAGCUCGUACUACUACGUGCAAAACUGAAGAUAUAUGUAAAGAACCAGACGAUUUUUUAAAGGAUGCUUGCCUAAAGAAAAAGGAAAUUCCAAAGAAAAAUUCAAGAAGUACGAAAUCAUGGCUUGACAAUCAGCACCCAAAUAGAAAGAAGGAGACAACUAAAGCGGUACCCAAAAAUCAAAAUCAUUCUGUAAAUCUCUCGCACAUGUCUAACCGGACUACUUAUUAA